This 237-nucleotide unclassified non-coding RNA is filed under the name fungal sp. Its description in RNAcentral is "partial internal transcribed spacer region". The stretch from base 1 to 46 matches the Rfam family "Eukaryotic small subunit ribosomal RNA", at positions 1786 to 1831 of the family's 1831-position model. The record is from RNAcentral. Lineage: Eukaryota; Fungi.
AAGUCGUAACAAGGUAACCGUAGGUGAACCUGCGGUUGGAUCAUUAAAUUGAAAAAGAGAGAGAAGAAAUUCUCUUGAUUUUUAAACAAUUAGAGAUAAUUGAAUGUUUUUUUUGUGGAGAGAAAAGAAGAGAAAUUGUCUUUUUUUUCCACAAAUUUAAAUAAACCAUUUUUAUUAUUAUUAUUAUUAUUAUAAAAUAAAAAAAAACAACUUUUGACAACGGAUCUCUUGGCUCUC